Molecule: ribosomal RNA, 465 nt
Filed under: uncultured bacterium
Lineage: Bacteria
Description: partial 16S ribosomal RNA
Rfam family: Bacterial small subunit ribosomal RNA
Source: RNAcentral
GACGAACGCUGGCGGCGUGCUUAAUACAUGCAAGUCGAACGGAAAGGCGCUGCUUGCAGGGCACUCGAGUGGCGAACGGGUGAGUAACACGGGGGUGAAUUGCCCUGCACUUCGGGAUAAGCUUGGGAAACUGGGUCUAAUACCGGAUAGGAACCAUCUUUAGUGAGGUGGUUGGAAAGUUUUUUCGGUGUAGGAUGAGCUCGCGGCCUAUCAGCUUGUUGGUGGGGUAAUGUCCUACCAAGGCGGCGACGGGUAGCCGGCCUGAGAGGGUGUACGGCCACAUUGGGACUGAGAUACGGCCCAGACUCAUCCGGGAGGAAGAAGUGGGGAAUGUUGCAAAAUGGGAGCAAGACUGAUGCAGCGACGCCGCGUGGGGGAUGAAGGCCUUCGGGUUGAAAGCUCCUUUCGCUAGGGACGAAGCUUUGUUGUGACGGUACCUAGAUAAGAAGCACCGGCUAACUACGU